RNAcentral lists this ribosomal RNA (201 nucleotides) under uncultured bacterium. Its description in RNAcentral is "partial 16S ribosomal RNA". It matches the Rfam family "Bacterial small subunit ribosomal RNA", at positions 524 to 723 of the family's 1533-position model. The record is from RNAcentral.
UACGAAGGGGGCUAGCGUUGCUCGGAAUUACUGGGCGUAAAGCGCACGUAGGCGGAUUUGUAAGUCAGGGGUGAAAUCCCGGGGCUCAACCUCGGAACUGCCUUUGAUACUGCAAAUCUCGAGUCCGGAAGAGGUGAGUGGAAUUCCUAGUGUAGAGGUGAAAUUCGUAGAUAUUAGGAAGAACACCAGUGGCGAAAGGCG